Molecule: unclassified non-coding RNA, 319 nt
Filed under: Bursera esparzae
Lineage: Eukaryota; Viridiplantae; Streptophyta; Magnoliopsida; Sapindales; Burseraceae
Description: partial external transcribed spacer
Source: RNAcentral
UUCGGUAUCCUGUGUUGCUUACCUAUGGAAAGGAAUCCGAUGGUUUCGUUAGUCCCUUUCCGCCCCCUGCCCUCACGGGUUUUGGGGUGGACAUCAGGCAAGCCUCGUGUUCCCGGCAUGCUUCGCCCAGCUGCGUCGCUGCCUCGGCCCAUGAGGUGCAUUGCCCGUGCUCUCGGAUGCAGAAUGUUAUGUGCGGGUGCGGGGUCUAUUUAUUAGCUCCGUUUGCCCAAGCAACGCAUUUGUCUUACGACACGAACGACUGCCGUGCCCGUCUUGAGCCCGCGGCCGUACGGCCUGCCGGGUCUCAUGCGGGCGUCGG